GGGGAGCAAACAGGAUUAGAUACCUUGGUAGUCACGCCGUAAACGAUGUCUACUUGGAGGUGUGGCCUUGAGCCGUGGCUUUCGGAGCUAACGCGUUAAGUAGACCGCUGGGGAGUACGGUCGCAAGAUUAAAACUCAAAUGAAUUGACGGGGGCCCGCACAAGCGGUGGAGCAUGUGGUUUAAUUCGAUGCAACGCGAAGAACCUUACCUACUCUUGACAUCCAGAGAACUUUCCAGAGAUGGAUUGGUGCCUUCGGGAACUCUGAGACAGGUGCUGCAUGGCUGUCGUCAGCUCGUGUUGUGAAAUGUUGGGUUAAGUCCCGCAACGAGCGCAACCCUUAUCCUUGUUUGCCAGCGAGUAAUGUCGGGAACUCCAGGGAGACUGCCGGUGAUAAACCGGAGGAAGGUGGGGAMGACGUCAAGUCAUCAUGGCCCUUACGAGUAGGGCUACACACGUGCUACAAUGGCGCAUACAGAGGGCGGCCAACUUGCGAAAGUGAGCGAAUCCCAAAAAGUGCGUCGUAGUCCGGAUUGGAGUCUGCAACUCGACUCCAUGAAGUCGGAAUCGCUAGUAAUCGUGGAUCAGAAUGCCACGGUGAAUACGUUCCCGGGCCUUGUACACACCGCCCGUCACACCAUGGGAG
RNAcentral lists this ribosomal RNA (645 nucleotides) under Vibrio sp. Its description in RNAcentral is "bacterial SSU rRNA". It matches the Rfam family "Bacterial small subunit ribosomal RNA", at positions 763 to 1410 of the family's 1533-position model. The record is from RNAcentral. Lineage: Bacteria; Pseudomonadati; Pseudomonadota; Gammaproteobacteria; Vibrionales; Vibrionaceae.